CACCAGCGCCCCAAGUGGCAGUCAAGUUUAUUGGGCCUAAAGCGUUCGUAGCCGGUUUGGUAAAUCCUUUGUGAAAUCGUCGUGCUUAACGCGACGGCAUGCAGGGGACACUGCCAAACUUGGAACCGGGAGGAGUCAGAAGUAUGCCGUGGGGACUGGUAAAAUGGGAUAAUCCACGGUAGACUACCGAUGGCGAAGGCAUCUGACCAGAACGGAUUCGACGGUGAGGAACGAAAGCCAGGGGAGCGAACCGG
This 254-nucleotide ribosomal RNA is filed under the name uncultured bacterium. RNAcentral's name for it is "partial 16S ribosomal RNA". It matches the Rfam family "Archaeal small subunit ribosomal RNA", at positions 474 to 727 of the family's 1478-position model. The record is from RNAcentral.